This 370-nucleotide ribosomal RNA is filed under the name uncultured eukaryote. RNAcentral describes it as "SSU rRNA". It matches the Rfam family "Eukaryotic small subunit ribosomal RNA", at positions 587 to 972 of the family's 1831-position model. The record is from RNAcentral.
AGCUCCAAUAGCGUAUAUUAAAGUUGUUGCAGUUAAAAAGCUCGUAGUUGAAAUUUUGGGAUGCUGAACCAAGUCAAACACUGUCUCGGUUCAGCUUUCCAUAUUCACAAAGAUGUCCUUGCCCAUUAACUUGUGCUUGGACGGAGUUGUGUCAUUUACUGUGAACAAAUUAGGGUGUUUAAAGCAGGCCUUUGUUUGGAUACAUUAGCAUGGAAUAAUAAGAUAUAACUUUGGUUGUAUUUUGUUGGUGACUACCAGAGUAAUGAUUGACAGAAACUGUUGUGGGUAUUCGUAUGAGCAUGUCAGAGGUGAAAUUCUUGGAUUUUGAUCAGACGAACUACUGCGAAAGCAUUUACCAAGGAUGUUUUCA